Long non-coding RNA from Micropterus salmoides (largemouth bass), 365 nucleotides. RefSeq lists it as uncharacterized. The record is from RefSeq and is a predicted model, not a curated record. Lineage: Eukaryota; Metazoa; Chordata; Actinopteri; Centrarchiformes; Centrarchidae. The transcript is spliced from 3 exons.
AGAAUUGAACAUUUCAGCGAAUUUUUACCUUAAACCUAAAGUUUUUUUUCUACAGAGCUAGAAUAUUUCAGGGACACAUCAAGAUAAUGUUACUGCAUCUAACCUUCUGGUUACGCAGACUGUUCCACCACGAUGUUGGUUAAUGUUGAACUGCUUCGUCACUAAGGUACAAAUUCAAGCCAAAGGCAACUGCAGGACUUUAAGCACGCAGGUCCAGUAAAGAGAUUCUGUCAGAGACCCUGCUGGAAAACAAAGCAAUUCCAAAUGUUGGGACAUCAUUGCUGUGUGAAAAGUAGCGAAGAGAAGACGUUACAAGUAAGUGUUAAGAUAAAUAAGGAUUGUAAAAGGAUGAGAACAAGGGAUGU